RNAcentral lists this long non-coding RNA (458 nucleotides) under Lathyrus oleraceus (garden pea). RNAcentral's name for it is "Pisum sativum (pea) long non-coding RNA (PSAT_LNC014527)". Lineage: Eukaryota; Viridiplantae; Streptophyta; Magnoliopsida; Fabales; Fabaceae. The record is from RNAcentral.
UUCCGUAUACCUCCGCUUUUUGGUUAGUAUGUCCUUCAUGAAUUUGGCAUACUUGGGCAUUUGUUCCAAGGCUUCGGCAAACGGAAUGUUGAUUUGCAACUGUUUAAAAAUAUCCAUGAACCGGGCGUAAUGCCGUUCAUUCUCCCUUUUGGAAGGAGCAUGAGGAUAAGGAAGGUUUUGGAUAGGAGUAGCGCUCACUACCUCCUUUCCCUUUGCAACUCUAGCACUUUUCCAUCUAGGCUUUUUCACUACCUCCCUUAUUACCUCAUCACUUGUAUUUUUUUCCAUCUCCACACCUUUCUCUUUUUCAACUUCACCAUUAUUUUUAUUCUUUUCAACUUCUUCCUCAUCACUCCACACUCCUACUUCACCAUCAACAUUUUCCUCCACUAUUUCCUCCUCAAUUUCUUUCUCUUUCUCUCUUUGUUCACUCUCAACUCUUUUUUUAUUCUCACUAC